GGAAUAAUGGCAGAACGGUUAUUGCAGCAGUCUUGAAAACUGUCGUCUUUCGGGGCAUGUGGGUUCGAAUCCUACUUAUUCCG
RNAcentral lists this transfer RNA (83 nucleotides) under uncultured Dysgonomonas sp. Its description in RNAcentral is "tRNA-Ser". It matches the Rfam family "tRNA". Rfam says of the family: Transfer RNA (tRNA) molecules are approximately 80 nucleotides in length. Lineage: Bacteria; Pseudomonadati; Bacteroidota; Bacteroidia; Bacteroidales; Dysgonomonadaceae. The record is from RNAcentral.